CCCUUAGAUGUCCCGGGCCGCACGCGUGCUACACUGACGCAUACAGCGAGCACUUUCCAGUUCCGAGAGGCUACUGGUAAUCAUCAAUAUGCGCCGUGAUGGGGAUAGAUCUUUGGAAUUCUGGAUCUUGAACGAGGAAUGCCUAGUAAUCGCAGGUCAUUAGCCUGCGAUGAUUAAGUCCCUGCCCUUUGUACACACCGCCCGUCGCUACUACCGAUUUCGAGUGGUCAGGUGAAUCUUUCGGACUGUGGGCGCCCUUGAGGUGUUCGCGGAAAGUCAGGUAAAUCUUAUCACUUAGAGGAAGUAAAAGUCGUAACA
RNAcentral lists this ribosomal RNA (318 nucleotides) under uncultured eukaryote. RNAcentral describes it as "partial 18S ribosomal RNA". It matches the Rfam family "Eukaryotic small subunit ribosomal RNA", at positions 1470 to 1796 of the family's 1831-position model. The record is from RNAcentral.